GGCCUGAGAGGGUGGCCGGCCACAGGGGCACUGAGACACGGGUCCCACUCCUACGGGAGGCAGCAGUUAGGAAUCUUCCACAAUGGGCGAAAGCCUGAUGGAGCGACGCCGCGUGAGGGAUGAAGGUCUUCGGAUCGUAAACCUCUGAAUCAGGGACGAAAGACGCGUUAUGCGGGAUGACGGUACCUGAGUAAUAGCACCGGCUAACUCCGUGCCAGCAGCCGCGGUAAUACGGAGGGUGCAAGCGUUACCCGGAAUCACUGGGCGUAAAGGGCGUGUAGGCGGACACUUAAGUCUGGUUUUAAAGACUGCGGCUCAACCGCAGGGAUGGACUGGAUACUGGGUGUCUUGACC
RNAcentral lists this ribosomal RNA (354 nucleotides) under bacterium LimB-1-A-245. Its description in RNAcentral is "bacterial SSU rRNA". It matches the Rfam family "Bacterial small subunit ribosomal RNA", at positions 289 to 647 of the family's 1533-position model. The record is from RNAcentral. RNAcentral also lists the same sequence under 2 other names.